CACGUAGGGCGCGAGCGUUGUCCGGAAUUAUUGGGCGUAAAGAGCUCGUAGGCGGCCUGUUGCGUCCGCUGUGAAAGCCCGGGGCUUAACCCCGGGUCGGCAGUGGAUACGGGCAGGCUAGAGGUAGGUAGGGGAGAAUGGAAUUCCCGGUGUAGCGGUGAAAUGCGCAGAUAUCGGGAGGAACACCGGUGGCGAAGGCGGCGACCUGGUCCGACACUGACGCUGAGGCGCGAAAGCGUGGGGAGCAAACAGG
RNAcentral lists this ribosomal RNA (253 nucleotides) under uncultured bacterium. RNAcentral's name for it is "partial 16S ribosomal RNA". It matches the Rfam family "Bacterial small subunit ribosomal RNA", at positions 524 to 776 of the family's 1533-position model. The record is from RNAcentral.